GCAAGUAUGCCCGAGUGGUCUAAGGGGUCAGACUCAAGUUCUGAUAAGCGUCAGCUUGCGAGGGUUCAAAUCCCUCUACUUGCA
Molecule: transfer RNA, 84 nt
Organism: Coccomyxa subellipsoidea C-169
Lineage: Eukaryota; Viridiplantae; Chlorophyta; Trebouxiophyceae; Coccomyxaceae
Rfam family: tRNA
About the family: Transfer RNA (tRNA) molecules are approximately 80 nucleotides in length. Their secondary structure includes four short double-helical elements and three loops (D, anti-codon, and T loops).
Source: Rfam